Molecule: ribosomal RNA, 501 nt
Filed under: uncultured bacterium
Lineage: Bacteria
Description: partial 16S ribosomal RNA
Rfam family: Bacterial small subunit ribosomal RNA
Source: RNAcentral
AUUGAACGCUGGCGGCAUGCCUUACACAUGCAAGUCGAACGGCAGCACGGGUGCUUGCACCUGGUGGCGAGUGGCGAACGGGUGAGUAAUAUAUCGGAACGUACCUUAUUGUGGGGGAUAACGCAGCGAAAGUUGUGCUAAUACCGCAUAAUCCCUAAGGGGGAAAGCGGGGGACCGUAAGGCCUCGCGCAAUUAGAGCGGCCGAUACCUGAUUAGCUAGUUGGUGAGGUAAAGGCUCACCAAGGCAACGAUCAGUAGCUGGUCUGAGAGGACGAUCAGCCACACUGGGACUGAGACACGGCCCAGACUCCUACGGGAGGCAGCAGUGGGGAAUUUUGGACAAUGGGGGCAACCCUGAUCCAGCAAUGCCGCGUGAGUGAAGAAGGCCUUCGGGUUGUAAAGCUCUUUUGUCAGGGAAGAAACAGCAGCUCUAACACAGUAUGCGAAUGACGGUACCUGAAGAAUAAGCACCGGCUAACUACGUGCCAGCCGCCGCGGUAA